RNAcentral lists this ribosomal RNA (253 nucleotides) under uncultured bacterium. RNAcentral's name for it is "partial 16S ribosomal RNA". It matches the Rfam family "Bacterial small subunit ribosomal RNA", at positions 524 to 776 of the family's 1533-position model. The record is from RNAcentral.
UACGGAGGGUGCAAGCGUUAUCCGGAUUCACUGGGUUUAAAGGGUGCGUAGGCGGGCAGGUAAGUCAGUGGUGAAAUCUCCGGGCUUAACCCGGAAACUGCCAUUGAUACUAUUGGUCUUGAAUGUUGUUGAGGUGGGCGGAACGGGUCAUGUAGCGGUGAAAUGCAUAGAUAUGACCCGGAACACCGAUUGCGAAGGCAGCCCGCUAAGCAACUAUUGACGCUGAGGCACGAAAGCGUGGGGAUCAAACAGG